AUUUGAGUGCCUUAUUGGAAUGAUGUUGAGUCCACAUGUUCAGACAGACAGGAAGUGGCUGAUUAAAUCACCUUUAUUAAAAGAUACAAGAUGCUGGAAUACCAACACUUUAGAAUGCAGAAGUACUUUACACACAGGCCCAGGCUUGUGUCCAACAUGGCCCCUUAUUCACUAUAUAGUGCACUACUUUACACACAGGCCCAGGCUUGUGUCCAAUAUGGCCCCUUAUUCACUAUAUAGUGCACUACUUUACACACAGGCCCAGGCUUGUGUCCAAUAUGGCCCCUUAUUCACUAUAUAGUGCACUACUUUACACACAGGCCCAGGCUUGUGUCCAAUAUGGCCCCUUAUUCACUAUAUAGUGCACUACUUUACACACAGGCCCAGGCUUGUGUCCAAUAUGGCCCCUUAUUCACUAUAUAGUGCACUACUUUACACACAGGCCCAGGCUUGUGCCCAACCAAACUCACAUAGAGGCUGUAUCCAAUAUGGCCCCUUAUUCACCAUGUAGUGCACUACUUUAGACCAGAGCCCUAUUCCCUAUAUAGGGCACUACUUUAGACCAAAGCCCUAUUCCAUAUAUAGUGCACUACUUUAGACCAGAGCCCUAUUCCCUAUAUAGUGCACUACUUUAGACCAGAGCCUAAUUCCAUAUAUAGUGCACUACUUUAGACCAGAGCCCUAUUCCCUAGAUAGUGCACUACCUUUAACUACAGCAUUAUUCCAUAUAUAGUGCACUACUUUAGACCAGAGCCCUAUUCCCUAUAUAGUGCACAACAUUAUACUACAGCCCUAUUCCCUAUAUAGUGCACUACUUUAUACUACAGCCCUAUUCCCUAUAUAGUGCACUACUUUUAACCAGAGCCCUGAAUAGACCAGACACCUAAUCAUCUAUAUACAUCUUAAUCUAGCAUUGUGUUUCUCCUAUUAAUCACCCUGUGAAUGACUCUCUAUGGGUCCAGGUUAACACUCUAUAAGGGGAACAGAAUGACUCUCUAUGGGUCCAGGUUAACACUCUAUAAGGGGAACAGAAUGACUCUCUAUGGGUCCAGGUUAACACUCUAUAAAGGGGAACAGAAUGACUCUCUAUGGGUCCAGGUUAACACUCUAUAAAGGGGAACAGAAUGGCUCUCUAUGGGUCCAGGUUAACACACUAUAAAGGGAACAGAAUGACUCUCUAUGGGUCCAGGUUAACACUCUAUAAGGGGAACAGAAUGACUCUCUAUGGGUCCAGGUUAACACUCUAUAAGGGGAACAGAAUGACUCUCUAUGGGUCCAGGUUAACACAUUAUAAAGUGAAUAAGAGUCCAUUUGGAACACAGCCACAGUAGUAAUAACAAAGGUAUUUUUUGAUCAAAAUCCCUGUAAAUAUCUGCGGUAUCCUUGCCAACCCAUUUCAAUCUGCAGGUUGUUUUUUUCUUUUCAAAAUCACAACGUGACAGUAAACCAGUCUUUAAAGAAAAAAGAGAUCUGAAACCAUGCAACACUCAACAAGCCCACGUUACAGUUACUUCUGGGUUCGCCACCGUUUUGAAUGGCAUCAUCAAUAUCAUCAUCAUCAUCAUCAUCAUCAUCAUCAUCAUCAUCAAUAUCAUGAUCAUCGUCAUCAAUAUCAUGAUCAUCAUCAUCAAUAUCAUCAUCAUCAUCAUCAAUAUCAUGAUCAUCAUCAUCAAUAUCAUCAUCAUCAAUAUCAUGAUCAUCGUCAUCAAUAUCAUGAUCAUCAUCAUCAAUAUCAUCAUCAUCAUCAUCAAUAUCAUGAUCAUCAUCAUCAAUAUUAUCAUCAUCAAUAUCAUGAUCAUUAUCAAUAUCAUGAUCAUCAUCAACAAUAUCAUGAUCAUCAUCAAUAUCAUCAUCAUCAAUAUCAUGAUCAUCAUCAAUAUCAUGAUCAUCAUCAUCAUCAUCAAUAUCAUCAUCAUCAUCAUCAAUAUCAUCAUCAUCAACACUUACAACACCAUAAGACUUCACACAACAGUGACAAGGACGUUUUGACGUUUUUUUGGGGGGGGGAGACAGAAUCGAUCAAAUCUCGAAGACCUCAUCCACUGAGUUUCCAUGACAGGACAAAACGGGUCACGUCGUAGAUAGAACGGGGUUCUCUUCUGUUUCAUUAGUUCGUUACCCGAGUCCAUCGCUGCCUUUAGGCCUCAUGCUUGGUGUUAAAGGGGGACAGUGACGAGCAACAGAUAUACACUACACUUCAGCAAACUAACCACUGGCACCAAACACUAACCUGCUGCUCCCAGAUCAGUGUCUAACCUCCGUGUUGGCACCAAACACUAACCUGCAGCUCCCAGAUCAGUGUCUA
This is a long non-coding RNA of Oncorhynchus tshawytscha (Chinook salmon), 2305 nucleotides long. The record is from Ensembl. NCBI's taxonomy places the organism in Eukaryota, Metazoa, Chordata, Actinopteri, Salmoniformes, Salmonidae.